This is a long non-coding RNA of Vespula pensylvanica (western yellowjacket), 1032 nucleotides long. RefSeq lists it as uncharacterized. The record is from RefSeq and is a predicted model, not a curated record. Lineage: Eukaryota; Metazoa; Arthropoda; Insecta; Hymenoptera; Vespidae. The transcript has 3 exons.
CGCUCGGUAUACCAUUUUAAGCACACUGCGCAUUAAUUCCUACAUUAUUAAGGAACAAAACUUUCGAGAGCCUGUGCAUCAAGUGAUAUACUAAUUUCUGCAUUUAAUAUUAAGAAAUAAAAUGUAAUAUAAACUUUGAAAGCAUAGAAAUCAUCAGAAUAUCUCAUUAAUCGUUAUUCUGUAGAUAGAUUUUAAUUUUUUAAUGAAUUAAGUAACAAAGAAAUUUUCGUUAAACAUAUUUAGAAUCUCACUUUACUUACGUAGUACUCUUCACUAUUUUCAUUGCGAGCGGAAAAAAUGAAUAAGUAAUGAAUUGAAUAACGAAAGAAUCGAUCGUUAUAGCUUUAUAUAUCUCUUGUAAAUAUUCGAGAAACAUUAGAAUUGUAUUUAAUUUGUUACUUAUACUUUAUUUACGUUACCUAUAUUUAUAUUUAUUGUUACUUAUAUAUCGGUUCGAUAGUAAUCGAAUAUCCCGGGAAAUGUUCACUCGGCUUGAAGAAGAUGAAGUUGAAGCAACGAAUGUGACGUGAAAUGAUAAUGUUGGAAAAAAGAAGACUUCGAUCUGUAUAUUUGAACACGACUGACAUAAAAAUUUUGAAAAGAAUUAUUGUUAUAGUGAUGUAUAUAAUUUCCUGAAAAAUAUUUGUUUUUAAAGCCAAGGUAGGCAAUAAAAAUGAAAUUUUCUCGUUCGCUGCUUAUACACAGACAUCCAACACAUACGCACGAAUAUCUGGAAUUGAGCUCGGCGAUCGUUAGAACGUAAUAUAUCCUCUUAUUCCCGAAAACAAAUAUGAAAACAUCGUCCCGUUAAAAAUGGAUAAUACAAUGGAUAACUGUUAGCUCAUAUUCGAUACAUCAAUUCACCAUUGUACGGAAUAAUCGAAUUAGGAUCGAGUUGGUGGAAAAUUUAAACCAAACGGACGCGAUAUCGUUAUAUGGCUGCAUCCAGGGGGCAACUGUUCGAGUCAAUGACUCGUUUAGGUUAAAUUUAGAAUAUCCCUAUUUUAUUUCUUAAAUAAUUAAUGUUUUUUU